This 85-nucleotide transfer RNA is filed under the name Vibrio alginolyticus. RNAcentral's name for it is "tRNA-Leu". It matches the Rfam family "tRNA". From Rfam's summary of the family: Transfer RNA (tRNA) molecules are approximately 80 nucleotides in length. Their secondary structure includes four short double-helical elements and three loops (D, anti-codon, and T loops). RNAcentral also lists the same sequence under 10 other names. The record is from RNAcentral. Lineage: Bacteria; Pseudomonadati; Pseudomonadota; Gammaproteobacteria; Vibrionales; Vibrionaceae.
GCCGGUGUGGUGAAAUUGGUAUACACGACGGAUUCAAAAUCCGUUGCCUUCGGGCGUGGCGGUUCGAGUCCGCCUACCGGCACCA